Molecule: ribosomal RNA, 421 nt
Filed under: uncultured bacterium
Lineage: Bacteria
Description: partial 16S ribosomal RNA
Rfam family: Bacterial small subunit ribosomal RNA
Source: RNAcentral
AAUUUUGGACAAUGGGGGCAACCCUGAUCCAGCCAGCCCGCGUGUGCGAUGAAGGCCUUCGGGAUGUAAAGCACUUUUGGCAGGGAAGAAAAGGCUCUGGCUAAUACCUGGAGCAGCUGACGGUACCUGCAGAAUAAGCAGCGGCGAACUACGUGCCAGCAGCCGCGGUAAUUCGUAGGGUGCAAGCGGUAAACGGAAUUACUGGGCGUAAAGCGUGCGCAGGCGGUUCGGCAAGAAGGAUGUGAGAUCCCAGGGCUUAACCUUGGAACUGCAUUCUUAACUGCCGGGCUAGAGUAUGUCAGAGGGGGGUAGAAUUCCGCGUGUAGCAGUGAAAUGCGUAGAGAUGCGGAGGAAUACCGAUGGCGAAGGCAGCCCCCUGGGAUAAUACUGACGCUCAUGCACGAAAGCGUGGGGAGCAAAC